Molecule: long non-coding RNA, 429 nt
Filed under: Homo sapiens (human)
Lineage: Eukaryota; Metazoa; Chordata; Mammalia; Primates; Hominidae
Description: HSALNT0015785
Source: RNAcentral
ACCCCCACCAAAGUGCUGGACUGGGUUCUUAAAGGGGCCACCUGAAGCAGGACUUUUUCCCACACUGAAGUCACCAACUGACAGCAGAAACAGGUCCCCCAUCUUUGGGAUAUCUCCCAGUUCUGCUCCCAGUAGAAUGUCUAAGAAAUCUUUGAUGACCAGUGCAAUCUGUGGAGGUUAUACACUUGGAGGAAGGGACAGCACACGCUGAUGGUUUGCAGUGGUGGGAAGACCAUCUGAUCCAGAGGCAGGAAGAUAAGUAAAAUGACUUCUUAGAGCCCCUUCCUGCUUUCCCAGCUCCCCUCCCCCAUCUCAAGCAUCUGAUCCCAGACCUAUUUCAGAAUCUCCUAUCUCUUUGCUCAGUGGAAGCAGUGAUAUGACAUGAUGUGAUCUCAUUUGAGGGCUAAAUAAAGCCAUUGUGUGAGACCC